Molecule: ribosomal RNA, 233 nt
Filed under: Acinetobacter baumannii
Lineage: Bacteria; Pseudomonadati; Pseudomonadota; Gammaproteobacteria; Moraxellales; Moraxellaceae
Description: partial 16S ribosomal RNA
Rfam family: Bacterial small subunit ribosomal RNA
Source: RNAcentral
UAACUGAAGAGUUUGAUCAUGGCUCAGAUUGAACGCUGGCGGCAGGCUUAACACAUGCAAGUCGAGCGGGGGAAGGUAGCUUGCUACUGGACCUAGCGGCGGACGGGUGAGUAAUGCUUAGGAAUCUGCCUAUUAGUGGGGGACAACAUCUCGAAAGGGAUGCUAAUACCGCAUACGUCCUACGGGAGAAAGCAGGGGAUCUUCGGACCUUGCGCUAAUAGAUGAGCCUAAGU